This 253-nucleotide ribosomal RNA is filed under the name uncultured bacterium. RNAcentral's name for it is "partial 16S ribosomal RNA". It matches the Rfam family "Bacterial small subunit ribosomal RNA", at positions 524 to 776 of the family's 1533-position model. The record is from RNAcentral.
UACGUAGGGCGCAAGCGUUGUCCGGAAUUAUUGGGCGUAAAGAGCUCGUAGGCGGCUUGUCACGUCGGGUGUGAAAGCCCGGGGCUCAACCCGGGAACUGCGUCCGAUACUGGCAGGCUUGAAUCCGGGAGAGGGAUGCGGAAUUCCAGGUGUAGCGGUGAAAUGCGUAGAUAUCUGGAGGAACACCGGUGGCGAAGGCGGCAUCCUGGACCGGCAUUGACGCUGAGGCGCGAAAGCCAGGGGAGCAAACGGG